CCAGUCCGGCGCCGGAUCGCGGUUGCCCAGCGCGCUGUGCCCUGCCGGGGGCGGGCCACGUUUGAUCUCCGGGCCCGCAGCAAGGGAUCGCGAAGGUAUUGAUCUAGGCGCUGCUGUGAAGGGAAUUUGCAGAUGUAAUUGGCCUAAAUCAGUUGGCUUUAAUAUCAGGAAAUUGUCCUCAGUGGGCAUGGCCAUAUGGAGCCCUUACAAGGGACUGGGCUCUUCCUGGUGAAAAAGAUUUGAAUCACGAGAGUGGCUGAUAUGAGGGAAAUUCUUUGCUGUUGCCUUCGAAGACAGAAGAGGUCCACAAGGCAAAGGAUGCAGACAGCCUGUAGGAGCUGAGACUGGCUCCUGGCUGACAGCCAGCAAGGAAAUGAGGACCUCAGUCCUCCAAUCAUGAAGCAGACUCCGACUUCUGCUAACAACCUGAAUACACUUCAAAGAGGAUUCUGAGCUCCAGCCGCCUACACAUUGAUUUCAGCUGUUGGGACCCUCAGCCGAGAACCCAGCUAUGCCGUGCCCAGAUGUAAGACCUACACAUCUGUGAGCUUUCUAGUUAACAAGAUGGAGGAAGAGAUAAAGAAGGACAUUCCCCAAAGUCUCACAGAACUCUUCUGCUCACAUCUCAUUGGCUAACAUGAGUCACAUGGUGAACCUGGAUGCAGGGAGGCUGAAGAAGACAGUCAUCUUGCUGGGCAGAAGGAAAGGAAGGAGGACCUAUGAACAGUGGUGGGUUCCAUGUCAGGGGCUUGCCAGCCACAAGGAAAGGUCAGAAAUUCCCAGAAUUUCAGUUCUGAAAUCUGUAUGUUGACCCAGACUCUUGGGAAUUUUACCUGGAUAUUUUCAGAUUCUUAAACAUAAUUUUUAAUGUCAUUUGAAUGGAUGCAGAGGAGAGCUGUAUAAGUAAUUGAGUAUGAACUUUAAAAAUACAUUAGGAUUCAAAACUGCAUGCUACAAAAUCACCAUCUUUUUAACCUUUUCAAAAAGGUGUAACAUAUGUACAGAAAAGUGCUCAAAUCAUAACAUACAGCUCUCCAUAAAUUAUCACAGAGUGAAGACACCCAUGUCAUUACCACUAAGAAAAAAAGAGAGAAACCAUCACACCCCAGAACCCACCCUGUGCUCCUCCCAGCCUCAUGUGCCCAUCCGGAAUGUUUUCCUUUUCUCUGCUUUUCUCCUCAAGUCUGUCUUAGCCCCCUCUUCUCUUCUGGCCACCUCACUUCCCAGGCCUCCCCGAUACCCCGGGCAGUGGGGGGCUUUUUUGAGGCUGGUUUGCCUUUUGGCACAGUGGAAAUAGCAUGUGCUCUGGAGCCAGCUCUCCAAGAUCUAGAUCUCAGCCCACCUACUCACUAGCUUUGUGAAUCCAAGCAAGAGACCUAAUCCCUCUCAGCUCCCCAGGCACUAUCCUGGGGUCACAGGUGCUGAUUGGGUACUUCCCAGAGUGGCUACCGAGUGCCUGCUGCUCAGCAUGGGGCUCAAAUACACCCACUGCAUUUUCAUUUCUAUGCUUUUGCUUGGGUCUCUGAAAGCUCCCGAGGGAUGUUCAUUGUUUCCAUUUCACAGAUUGCCACAAUGAUGCCUGCAGAGGUGAAAUGACUUGCCCAGCAUCACACAGUGGGGCAAGGGCAGAGUGAAGCCUGGACCCUAGGCUCUGAGGCCACAGCAGCACAGGACCCGGAGCUGUGCCCUCCGGCCCCAGACCUGCCAUGGUCCUGUGGCUGUUUAGACGACUGUUUGGCCCAGGGGUGCCUGGCUCUCUAAAAGAUUCACUGUUGCCCUCACCAAUAUUUAUUUCAGCCUUCCCAGAAUGUUUCCUAA
This is a long non-coding RNA of Homo sapiens (human), 1818 nucleotides long. Ensembl annotates it as ST8SIA5 divergent transcript. Its record names the gene ST8SIA5-DT. The record is from Ensembl. NCBI's taxonomy places the organism in Eukaryota, Metazoa, Chordata, Mammalia, Primates, Hominidae.